RNAcentral lists this ribosomal RNA (449 nucleotides) under uncultured bacterium. Its description in RNAcentral is "bacterial SSU rRNA". It matches the Rfam family "Bacterial small subunit ribosomal RNA", at positions 355 to 825 of the family's 1533-position model. The record is from RNAcentral.
CGAGGAAUUUUCCGCAAUGGGCGAAAGCCUGACGGAGCAACGCCGCGUGGGGGAAGAAGGCCUUCGGGUUGUAAACCCCUGUUGCGAGGGAAGAAGAUCUGACGGUACCUCGCGAGGAAGCCACGGCUAACUACGUGCCAGCAGCCGCGGUAAUACGUAGGUGGCAAGCGUUGUCCGGAUUUACUGGGCGUAAAGCGCGCGCAGGCGGACUGGUCAGUCCGGGGUGAAAUCUCACGGCUCAACCGUGAGGGGUCCCUGGAUACUGCCAGCCUUGAGGGGCUCAGAGGAGAGUGGAAUUCCGGGUGUAGUGGUGGAAUGCGUAGAUAUCCGGAGGAACACCAGUGGCGAAAGCGGCUCUCUGGGGGCAACCUGACGCUGAGGCGCGAAAGCGUGGGGAGCGAACCGGAUUAGAUACCCCUGUAGUCCCUGAGCGGGCUGGCAAGGCGCAU